AGUCGUAACAAGGUCUCCGUUGGUGAACCAGCGGAGGGAUCAUUACCGAGUUUACAACUCCCAAACCCCUGUGAACAUACCACUUGUUGCCUCGGCGGAUCAGCCCGCUCCCGGUAAAACGGGACGGCCCGCCAGAGGACCCCUAAACUCUGUUUCUAUAUGUAACUUCUGAGUAAAACCAUAAAUAAAUCAAAACUUUCAACAACGGAUCUCUUGGUUCUGGCAUCGAUGAAGAACGCAGCAAAAUGCGAUAAGUAAUGUGAAUUGCAGAAUUCAGUGAAUCAUCGAAUCUUUGAACGCACAUUGCGCCCGCCAGUAUUCUGGCGGGCAUGCCUGUUCGAGCGUCAUUUCAACCCUCAAGCACAGCUUGGUGUUGGGACUCGCGUUAAUUCGCGUUCCUCAAAUUGAUUGGCGGUCACGUCGAGCUUCCAUAGCGUAGUAGUAAAACCCUCGUUACUGGUAAUCGUCGCGGCCACGCCGUUAAACCCCAACUUCUGAAUGUUGACCUCGGAUCAGGUAGGAAUACCCGCUGAACUUAAGCAUAUCAAUAAGCGGAGGA
This 559-nucleotide unclassified non-coding RNA is filed under the name Fusarium oxysporum. Its description in RNAcentral is "sequence contains 18S rRNA gene, ITS1, 5.8S rRNA gene, ITS2, 28S rRNA gene". The stretch from base 194 to 347 matches the Rfam family "5.8S ribosomal RNA". Lineage: Eukaryota; Fungi; Ascomycota; Sordariomycetes; Hypocreales; Nectriaceae. The record is from RNAcentral.